This 465-nucleotide ribosomal RNA is filed under the name Vreelandella stevensii. RNAcentral's name for it is "partial 16S ribosomal RNA". It matches the Rfam family "Bacterial small subunit ribosomal RNA", at positions 338 to 795 of the family's 1533-position model. The record is from RNAcentral. Lineage: Bacteria; Pseudomonadati; Pseudomonadota; Gammaproteobacteria; Oceanospirillales; Halomonadaceae.
CCUACGGGGGGCUGCAGUGGGGAAUAUUGGACAAUGGGCGAAAGCCUGAUCCAGCCAUGCCGCGUGUGUGAAGAAGGCCUUCGGGUUGUAAAGCACUUUCAGUGGGGAAGAAAGCCUUGGGGCUAAUACCCUCGAGGAAGGACAUCACCCACAGAAGAAGCACCGGCUAACUCCGUGCCAGCAGCCGCGGUAAUACGGAGGGUGCGAGCGUUAAUCGGAAUUACUGGGCGUAAAGCGCGCGUAGGCGGUCUGAUAAGCCGGUUGUGAAAGCCCCGGGCUCAACCUGGGAACGGCAUCCGGAACUGUCAGGCUAGAGUGCAGGAGAGGAAGGUAGAAUUCCCGGUGGAGCGGUGAAAUGCGUAGAGAUCGGGAGGAAUACCAGUGGCGAAGGCGGCCUUCUGGACUGACACUGACGCUGAGGUGCGAAAGCGUGGGUAGCAAACAGGAUUAGAUACCCGAGUAGUC